GAAACGAUCACUUCGGAUACAUAAAAAAUGAGGUCAGUAACAUUGAGUCCCAAAGCAAAGAGCCGGCCUUUCCGGGCUCACCACGUAGCUUCCUCCCCGGCCCUGCUCAUGGCCCUGCCUGGCUGUCUCCUCUGCCUGGAGGCCUCUCACUCACCUUUAGGGUGGGCUCCUGGCAGGGCAGGGUGGCCUGAGGGGCCUUAGGGAGGAUUUAGGGGUGAACACCCAAGAUCCCGGGUCCAUGAGAUUCCUGGAGCCAGGAGAAGGUGGCUUCACCACUCAAUUCAGUCAUAGGGACCAGCCAGGCCCAGUCCCACAGAUGAGGAGUCCUGGAGGGUCCUAGGCCUGCUCAGGUCCUCAGGAAGCAGAUGCUGAGCGGACCUGGGGCAUGCGACAGGUGACAGUAAUGCCCAGAAGAGAUGGGGCGUCAGGAGUCACCCGACUGGCCUGAAAAUCUGAUGGCACCUCCAGCGCCACGGCGAGCUCUGGGGCCAGGGCCACCUGCUGCAGGGACCACGGGUUGAGUGGCAACAUCCAGGCCCCAGCCACUUGCAUCUCAGCCACUGGAAAGGUAGGGGCCUCUGGGGGGCUACCCUGUUCACAGAUCUUUCUAGGGGAGACCCCAGAGACGGCCUCCCUGGAGCCACAUUGCGAGUGGCCAGAGCCGCAUCCCGCAUCACGCCCUCUGAGGGGCCAGCAGACAGCUCCAGGCGGAGCUCAAAGUGUCCUCGGACUCCAGCAGGAAGUGCUGGACUGGAUGUCGGUGGGGGCCUUUGAGAUCCCGAUUCUGCAACCUCAGCUCCCGGGGCUCUCCAGGCCCACAGUCCUGCUGACUGAAAUGUUGGCAAUGGUGGCCACUGCGCCUCCGCUCAAGAGUUUGCAGGAAGUUCCAUGCGGGAGAUCAAGUGAGAGUGGCCAGGGGCCUCUAGCAGUGACCAGCAGACAAAGCCUGGUCUCCAGGCAUCACCAGGCCACUGGGCCAGGAGCCUGAGCUGUGGGCUCUGUGGUGGGUGGAUGCUGGUUUUCUUCACUGGUACGGGAGAAAAUGGGGAUCCUGAGAGAUCCCAUGGAGAAG
This 1072-nucleotide long non-coding RNA is filed under the name Homo sapiens (human). Its description in RNAcentral is "HSALNT0068269". Lineage: Eukaryota; Metazoa; Chordata; Mammalia; Primates; Hominidae. The record is from RNAcentral.